RNAcentral lists this ribosomal RNA (580 nucleotides) under Penicillium commune. Its description in RNAcentral is "eukaryotic LSU rRNA". The stretch from base 207 to 359 matches the Rfam family "5.8S ribosomal RNA". The record is from RNAcentral. Lineage: Eukaryota; Fungi; Ascomycota; Eurotiomycetes; Eurotiales; Aspergillaceae.
UCCGUAGGUGAACCUGCGGAAGGAUCAUUACCGAGUGAGGGCCCUCUGGGUCCAACCUCCCACCCGUGUUUAUUUUACCUUGUUGCUUCGGCGGGCCCGCCUUAACUGGCCGCCGGGGGGCUCACGCCCCCGGGCCCGCGCCCGCCGAAGACACCCUCGAACUCUGUCUGAAGAUUGAAGUCUGAGUGAAAAUAUAAAUUAUUUAAAACUUUCAACAACGGAUCUCUUGGUUCCGGCAUCGAUGAAGAACGCAGCGAAAUGCGAUACGUAAUGUGAAUUGCAAAUUCAGUGAAUCAUCGAGUCUUUGAACGCACAUUGCGCCCCCUGGUAUUCCGGGGGGCAUGCCUGUCCGAGCGUCAUUGCUGCCCUCAAGCCCGGCUUGUGUGUUGGGCCCCGUCCUCCGAUCUCCGGGGGACGGGCCCGAAAGGCAGCGGCGGCACCGCGUCCGGUCCUCGAGCGUAUGGGGCUUUGUCACCCGCUCUGUAGGCCCGGCCGGCGCUUGCCGAUCAACCCAAAUUUUUAUCCAGGUUGACCUCGGAUCAGGUAGGGAUACCCGCUGAACUUAAGCAUAUCAAUAAGC